Molecule: long non-coding RNA, 2635 nt
Organism: Tympanuchus pallidicinctus (lesser prairie-chicken)
Lineage: Eukaryota; Metazoa; Chordata; Aves; Galliformes; Phasianidae
Exons: 2
Source: RefSeq, a predicted model, not a curated record
GAAAGAUAAAUAAGGAUAUUUUCAUUUGAUUCUACUUGAUUCUCCUUGAAUCAUUGAUCAUGAUUUCAUUAAUUAGAAAUCUAACUGCUGCAAUACUGAUGAAAGAGUGUAAACAAAUAAUUAUAUCGUGAUCUGGCGUGUGGAAUCAUGUUCAAAACAUCAGUGACUAGUCACUAACAUUAGUGGUUAGUCACUUACAUUAUAAAUGGGAAAGGCAUUCCAAAAUCAAGGAAUCCUGUCCAGAAACAUCUUUCAGUCCCAGCAGCUGAUGAUCUAGGUGUCUGAUUGAAGAUUCCCCCAAGGAUGGAUUUGGUGGCCCAUAUGAAAAGGAGACAGUCAUGAAGAUGGACAGAGCAUGCUGGCUGGUUCUGUUUUGAACUUCCUAGUUUCUCCUUUAUUUCAUGGUUUAUUAUGAUUCUAUCACAUUUGUGGGACAUUACUGUGGCACUGAACACUCAAUGCUAGUGUUAAAUUUCCUGGUUUCUUCAUACUUGUGUAAAUGAAUUGAAGUCCUCAGACUUAUUGAAUGGAAGUACACUCAUUGGUCCCUUCAUAAUCUAUGUAGAGCCCUGUCACUCUCCCUGUGACAGUCAAGUACUGUGUGCUACUACUACUUUUCAGUAAAAGAUAGGCAGAGUGAGUAGUUAAAAAUAACUUAUUUCUUGCAGAAGUCUGAGAAAGAGAGAGGCCUUGGCAUGGGUUAAAACAACAUGCAAACAUUAAUAUUGGCAAGUUAAUCAUAUACAAUCUGGUUUCUCAGUAACUGUGAGACGUACAGCAAUAGCAAGCAUUUGAGAGAGCAGCUCUUGGAUUUAGCAUGUUGGUUUUGUAGAACCUGGGAGAAUGAAUGCUUGGAAUUGAAAGAUUCCUUCAGGACUGGACUUUCCUGACACACAGAAGACAAAUAGAAAAUAGGACCAGAAGGAGCAGCACAAGUACCGUAAUCCAAGAACUCUUGCUACAGCUUUUCCUAGUGCAAGAAACAUCGAGGAGGUCACAUUUACAAAGCCACGCAUCUUCUUAGGUGAGAUCUCUCCUGCAUACUGAACAUGGGCAUUCAUAUAUAUUCCUAAAAAGAAGACAAGGGAGAACUGAAGUUACAGAAAAUGAGAGUCCCUUUUCAUUUCACCUGCUCCACAGUAAGUACUGGGAAAACGUACAUCCUACUUAGCUAGCCCAUCUGAUAUCUUCCUCAGUAAGAGCUCUUGAAAGCAAAGGAGAGCUCAUCAUCAUAAUGUCCCUGCCCUCUGAACGCACUGCACUUUGCAAUAGGCUUGAGCAGUCUGCUGCCUCAACAUGAGAUGUGAUCUUCUUACCUUUUCCCAAUCUGUUCCUUGUUCCACUGGGGUUACUGUGCAUGCCUGGGUACUCCUAGCAGGAAGAUUUCUGUAUCCACCCCUAAGAAUUCACAUUAACAUGGAAUAGUGGGGAGUCCUACCAGAACAGAUGCCUUCGAGGAAGCGUCCAAUCAGGAUCAUCUCAAAGGAUUUGGCUCUCCUACUGAAGCCUGUGUUCAAUGUGGCUAUUAUUAGGACCACAUCAAUGAUUAGCAGACAUUUCUUCCUACAACAGCAAAAACAUGUUAGUAUGAUCCACAUUUUCUUCUUCAUCAUUAACUAAUUUCUGCCUGUUCUUUUCUUGAUUUAUAGACUAAGUCAUGUUCAUUUUAAACUCCAUUGCUUAUUGGGCAACGAUAUCUGAUUAUGAAAAGGCAUGAUGUUCUCCCACAAGGGUGGAAAGGGAGAAGUUAGGCUUCUCUUUUCUAUGCUAGUAUCAUGUGAACACACUAUGAGACUGAAAGAAAUUCCUGCAAGGCAGAGACUGAUAAAGAAUGGUCUUCUUCACUUCUUUCCUUCCGGUCAGAACUCCCAUCCUGAACACUGCAGUUGUCACCUGAACUAGGCACAGCCAGCCUUAUGGAGACCUAGAUUCAUUGUCCACUUUCACCCAGAGAGUUUUGGCCUUGUUCUUUAUGGUCACACUUGAAAAGAUGGUUCUGAAUGUGGUUUGACAGACUUCUACUUGCCUUUGAUGAAACUGUGACUGUUCUUACAGAUGAAUGAACCUGCAUGUUUUGUAAGAGCUGCAAUCAAAGAGUUGUCAAGCUCCCUAAGCAUUAUUGCUCAGUAAAGUCAUUGCAGAGAAUGAUUCCUCACUAACAUUUCAGCAAAAAUAUAGGAAUUAUACGGCACAAAACCCAGUGAAAAUGGGAUCAGAAACAGUCACAUGUUCUCAUCUCUCUUGUGUACCCAGGUUUAGAUACACAUGCUGAGCAGAGCUAACGCUGCACCGAGAGGGGGCAGUGACAAUUCUGGCAAUCACUGUGCUAGGUGAGUGAGGUUUAAUUGCCUCCCUUGUGGCAGCAUUAGUGAAAUGCUGGGAGAUAUACUUACUUUCCAUAUUUUGCAGCCAGGUACCCACUACACAGAGACCCUAUCAUUCCCCCUACACAGUAUGUAGACACAAUGAAGGACCAAAAUAAUGUGAGAGUCUCUUGAUGCAGCGGUGAACCGUAUCGCUCCAGCCAGGUUUCAUUGAUAAACUUCUGAAUGUACUGGGACAGAAAAAAAAAGUUUAUUCCUCUGAGACACUAAUCACAGUGAUUCUUCUUUAUGUUUACAACUUAAAAAUAAAA